GUGGCGAUUCGUCCAGAACCUCCAGGUGUCCCCCCACAGCUGUUAGCACUGACAGAUGCCUCCUGACACCCACCCCCAACGACCUUUAAGAAGCUUCUGAGUAAUGCUGACAUCUCAGGGCUUACUGACGGUUCUUCAGGAGAAUAAGGAAAACGCGGCGCUGGUUCUUCGGUGCUGUGCCUUUUGGUCUACGUGAAGCAAUGCCCGUGGUUCGGUUACUCCAGCCCAGUGGGAAUCCCAUGUGGUAUAGCUGGUAGAGAACCUCCUGCCAAUGCAGAAGUCUCAAGGGACGCAGGCUCAGUCCCUGGGUCGGGCAGAUCCCCCGGAGGAGGGCAUGGCAACCCACUCCAGUGUUCUUGCCUGGAGAAUCCCAUGGACAGAGGAGCCUGGCGGGCUACAGUCCAUGCGGUCACACAGAGUCGGACACGACCGAGCGACUGAGCAUGCACGCACACUUGUACUGUUCCAGGACACUUCAAGGCUUGGCAGCUGAUUUUAUCCAGCCUCCCCCACCUCGUGGACAUAAAUUCGCUCUGGCUGUGUUGGUGAGUUCCCUACACACAAACUGCCAAGUUGCAAACAUUCAAAGAUGUGAACGUGUAUCUGAUUCCAGCAAGGAGCUGGAACC
This is a long non-coding RNA of Bos taurus (domestic cattle), 628 nucleotides long. The record is from Ensembl. NCBI's taxonomy places the organism in Eukaryota, Metazoa, Chordata, Mammalia, Artiodactyla, Bovidae.